This 261-nucleotide ribosomal RNA is filed under the name uncultured Streptococcus sp. RNAcentral describes it as "partial 16S ribosomal RNA". It matches the Rfam family "Bacterial small subunit ribosomal RNA", at positions 1120 to 1382 of the family's 1533-position model. Lineage: Bacteria; Bacillati; Bacillota; Bacilli; Lactobacillales; Streptococcaceae. The record is from RNAcentral.
AUCAUUCAGUUGGGCACUCUAGCGAGACUGCCGGUAAUAAACCGGAGGAAGGUGGGGAUGACGUCAAAUCAUCAUGCCCCUUAUGACCUGGGCUACACACGUGCUACAAUGGUUGGUACAACGAGUUGCGAGUCGGUGACGGCGAGCUAAUCUCUUAAAGCCAAUCUCAGUUCGGAUUGUAGGCUGCAACUCGCCUACAUGAAGUCGGAAUCGCUAGUAAUCGCGGAUCAGCACGCCGCGGUGAAUACGUUCCCGGGCCUU